ACGGGUGAGUAAUGUCUGGGGAUCUGCCCGAUAGAGGGGGAUAACCACUGGAAACGGUGGCUAAUACCGCAUAACGUCGCAAGACCAAAGAGGGGGACCUUCGGGCCUCUCACUAUCGGAUGAACCCAGAUGGGAUUAGCUAGUAGGCGGGGUAACGGCCCACCUAGGCGACGAUCCCUAGCUGGUCUGAGAGGAUGACCAGCCACACUGGAACUGAGACACGGUCCAGACUCCUACGGGAGGCAGCAGUGGGGAAUAUUGCACAAUGGGCGCAAGCCUGAUGCAGCCAUGCCGCGUGUAUGAAGAAGGCCUUCGGGUUGUAAAGUACUUUCAGCGGGGAGGAAGGCGAUAAGGUUAAUAACCUUGUCGAUUGACGUUACCCGCAGAAGAAGCACCGGCUAACUCCGUGCCAGCAGCCGCGGUAAUACGGAGGGUGCAAGCGUUAAUCGGAAUUACUGGGCGUAAAGCGCACGCAGGCGGUCUGUUAAGUCAGAUGUGAAAUCCCCGGGCUUAACCUGGGAACUGCAUUUGAAACUGGCAGGCUUGAGUCUCGUAGAGGGGGGUAGAAUUCCAGGUGUAG
Molecule: ribosomal RNA, 580 nt
Filed under: uncultured bacterium
Lineage: Bacteria
Description: bacterial SSU rRNA
Rfam family: Bacterial small subunit ribosomal RNA
Source: RNAcentral